AUUGAACGCGGGCGGUAGGCGUAACACAUGCAAGUCGAACGAGAAGCGGACGGGCGAGUAAUGUCUGGGAAACUGCCGGGAGGGGGGGGAUAACUACUGGCAACGGUCUGUAAUACCACAUACCAUCAGAUGUGCCCAAAGGGGAUUAGCUUGUUGGUGGGGUAAUGGCGCACCAAGGCGACGAUCCCUAGCUGGUCUGAGAGGAUGACCAGCCACACUGGAACUGAGACACGGUCCAGACUCCUACGGGAGGCAGCAGUGGGGAAUAUUGCACAAUGGGCGCAAGCCUGAUUCAGCCAUGCCGUGUGUCUGAAGAAGGCCUUCGGGUUGUAAAGCAGUUUCAGUGAGGAGGCGUUACUGGCAGAAGAACAGCCGGCCAACUCCGUUCCAGCAGCCGCGGUAAUAC
RNAcentral lists this ribosomal RNA (406 nucleotides) under uncultured bacterium. Its description in RNAcentral is "partial 16S ribosomal RNA". It matches the Rfam family "Bacterial small subunit ribosomal RNA", at positions 30 to 526 of the family's 1533-position model. The record is from RNAcentral.